AUGAUAUGUGAAAAGCGUGUGCUAGAUGUGGGCCCUAUCCACCGUUUUGAUCUGUCCACUCAGGUGCUUUGUCUAGCAGUUGGGUUCCAGAACAAACAACUAGGUAUUCCCAAAGAGGUCAUUCCACUAGUGGCUAGCAUAAUAUUUUCAUGUCGAGACAACGAUCCAAGCAAGCAACCAUCAUUGUACCAGCUCUUGUCAUCGCUGAAGAAAUUACAGUGGUUACAUUGUUACAGAAAGCCUAUGACAAUUUGCGAGUGUUGUUUGUGCAAUAUACUGGUUUUGUGGCAGGUGCAUGUAUGA
Molecule: ribosomal RNA, 303 nt
Filed under: Triticum aestivum (bread wheat)
Lineage: Eukaryota; Viridiplantae; Streptophyta; Magnoliopsida; Poales; Poaceae
Description: partial small subunit ribosomal RNA
Source: RNAcentral